ACUCCUACGGAGGCAGCAUGGGAUAUUGCACAAUGGGCGCAAGCCUGAUGCAGCCAUGCCGCGUGUAUGAAGAAGGCCUUCGGGUUGUAAAGUACUUUCAGCAGUGAGGAAGGUGGUAGUGUUAAUAGCACUAUCAUUUGACGUUAGCUGCAGAAGAAGCACCGGCUAACUCCGUGCCAGCAGCCGCGGUAAUACGGAGGGUGCGAGCGUUAAUCGGAAUUACUGGGCGUAAAGCGCAUGCAGGUGGUUUGUUAAGUCAGAUGUGAAAGCCCGGGGCUCAACCUCGGAAUUGCAUUUGAAACUGGCAGACUAGAGUACUGUAGAGGGGGGUAGAAUUUCAGGUGUAGCGGUGAAAUG
Molecule: ribosomal RNA, 357 nt
Filed under: uncultured bacterium
Lineage: Bacteria
Description: bacterial SSU rRNA
Rfam family: Bacterial small subunit ribosomal RNA
Source: RNAcentral